Non-coding RNA from Anaerotruncus sp. G3(2012), 339 nucleotides. It matches the Rfam family "Bacterial RNase P class A". From Rfam's summary of the family: Ribonuclease P (RNase P) is a ubiquitous endoribonuclease, found in archaea, bacteria and eukarya as well as chloroplasts and mitochondria. The record is from Rfam. NCBI's taxonomy places the organism in Bacteria, Bacillati, Bacillota, Clostridia, Eubacteriales, Oscillospiraceae.
AAAGCGAAUUGGACAGCGGCGGGAUGCCGGAAACGGCAUCGUGAGGAAAGUCCGGGCUCCACAGGGCGGGAUACCUGCUAACGGCAGGCCGAGGCGACUCGAGGGAAAGUGCAACAGAGAGAUACCGCCAUCCUCGGAUGGUAAGGGUGGAAAGGCGGGGUAAGAGCCCACCGGGAUGCGGGCGACCGCAUUGCCAUGUAAACCCUAUCCGGAGCAACACCAGCUGGAACAAUGCGGCUGCCCGCCGGGUUCCGAAAGGUGGCUUGAGCUGUAUGGCAACGUACGGCCUAGAAAGAUCGUUGUCCGCGACAGAACCCGGCUUAUAGAUUCCCUUUCUGC